UACGUAGGGAGCAAGCGUUGUCCGGAUUUACUGGGUGUAAAGGGUGCGUAGGCGGGAACACAAGUCAGGCGUGAAAUACCGGGGCUCAACUCCGGGGCUGCGCUUGAAACUGUGUUUCUUGAGUGAAGUAGAGGCAGGCGGAAUUCCUAGUGUAGCGGUGGAAUGCGUAGAUAUUAGGAGGAACACCAGUGGCGAAGGCGGCCUGCUGGGCUUUAACUGACACUGAGGCUCGAAAGCGUGGGGAGCAAACAGG
RNAcentral lists this ribosomal RNA (253 nucleotides) under uncultured bacterium. Its description in RNAcentral is "partial 16S ribosomal RNA". It matches the Rfam family "Bacterial small subunit ribosomal RNA", at positions 524 to 776 of the family's 1533-position model. The record is from RNAcentral.